AACUGAAGAGUUUGAUCAUGGCUCAGAUUGAACGCUGGCGGCAGGCUUAACACAUGCAAGUCGAGCGGGGGAAGGUAGCUUGCUACUGGACCUAGCGGCGGACGGGUGAGUAAUGCUUAGGAAUCUGCCUAUUAGUGGGGGACAACAUCUCGAAAGGGAUGCUAAUACCGCAUACGUCCUACGGGAGAAAGCAGGGGAUCUUCGGACCUUGCGCUAAUAGAUGAGCCUA
This 229-nucleotide ribosomal RNA is filed under the name Acinetobacter baumannii. RNAcentral's name for it is "partial 16S ribosomal RNA". It matches the Rfam family "Bacterial small subunit ribosomal RNA", at positions 1 to 233 of the family's 1533-position model. The record is from RNAcentral. Lineage: Bacteria; Pseudomonadati; Pseudomonadota; Gammaproteobacteria; Moraxellales; Moraxellaceae.